GGGUGAUCUGGCUUCAACAUCUACCACCCAUUGAUCACCAGGGUUGAUUCAGCUGAUGUCUGGCUAUACAGGUGUCCCUUUCCUCCAGUGUUCCAUGUGUAACCCUCCUGAAGUUGAAAACUUGGUUGGAGAGGAUGACCUUCCCUGAUAGAAGAGGACCAUUCUUUAAUCAAGGGUGUUCAAGUAGCUCUCUAAGCUCUCAAGGUAAAGGUCUCACCUGCACUGU
Molecule: small nuclear RNA, 226 nt
Filed under: Pan troglodytes (chimpanzee)
Lineage: Eukaryota; Metazoa; Chordata; Mammalia; Primates; Hominidae
Description: 7SK RNA
Rfam family: 7SK RNA
About the family: 7SK was discovered as an abundant small nuclear RNA in the mid-70s but a possible function has only recently been suggested. Two independent studies have found that 7SK RNA binds the CDK9/cyclin T complex (known as elongation factor P-TEFb). P-TEFb activates transcription by phosphorylating the C-terminal domain of RNA polymerase II.
Source: Rfam by way of RNAcentral